CGAGAAAGCCCGCAAGGGUGAGUAAACCGGCGAACGGGUGCGUAACACGUGGAUAAUCUACCUUCCUGACUGGGACAACUGGCCGAAAGGCUUGCUAAUACCAGAUAAGCCCACGGCGUCUUUGGACGCUGAGGGAAAAGGUGGCCUCUGCAUGCAAGCUAUCGCAGGGAGAUGAGUCCGCGGCCCAUCGGCUAGUUGGCGGGGUAAAAGCCCACCAAGGCUACGACGGGUAGCUGGUCUGAGAGGAUGAUCAGCCACACUGGAACUGAGACACGGUCCAGACUCCUACGGGAGGCAGCAGUGGGGAAUCUUGCGCAAUGGGCGAAAGCCUGACGCAGCAACGCCGCGUGUGCGAUGAAGGUCUUCGGAUCGUAAAGCACUGUCGCGAGGGACG
RNAcentral lists this ribosomal RNA (394 nucleotides) under uncultured Anaeromyxobacter sp. RNAcentral's name for it is "bacterial SSU rRNA". It matches the Rfam family "Bacterial small subunit ribosomal RNA", at positions 63 to 447 of the family's 1533-position model. Lineage: Bacteria; Pseudomonadati; Myxococcota; Myxococcia; Myxococcales; Anaeromyxobacteraceae. The record is from RNAcentral.